Cornus florida is the source of this 1074-nucleotide long non-coding RNA. RefSeq lists it as uncharacterized. NCBI's taxonomy places the organism in Eukaryota, Viridiplantae, Streptophyta, Magnoliopsida, Cornales, Cornaceae. The record is from RefSeq and is a predicted model, not a curated record. The transcript has 2 exons.
ACAUCCAUUGAGUCGAAGUCACGUAAUUUCAAAAAAAUGUGUUUGCAGUUUGGCAGAUGAAUUUUUACUGUUUAACAUUUCUGUUAACUAAAAUACCCUUCUCCCUAUUUUCUGUAUUCCUUAAAAUACCCUUUUUUUUUUUUCUUUUUUUUUUUCCAUAUUUUAAUACAUUGACCUAAUUGCAGCCGGCCGUAAUGCUCUUUCUGAUUCCUGUUCAUGCAAACCUCUCUCUCUCCCCCUCUCUGUAAAACCUCUAUCAGCUCAGCCCUAACCAUAUGAUGACUUUCAUCACCCUCCCUCUCUCCCCCUGUCUGUAACAACUAUCAUGCAGAGCCCUCUCUCUCCCCCCCUCUCUCUAACAUCCAUUUAAGCAUAGCCGUAACCCUCUUUUGUGCGCCCUCUAUCUCCCCGUCUCUGUAACCCAGCGUAGCAGCAUCCCCACUUCUCCACUUCUUUUGGGUGGAUCUCCCCCUUCGUUUGGGUCGUUGUGCUUCUGUGAACUGGCAGUUACAUGGACAAGUCUUGGAUUCAUCACACUAGGGGUAGUGUAAAGUAUUUUGAUGGCAUACACCACUUCAUUGAUGCGGCUAGAGAUGUUGAGAAUGAUGAUGGAAAUGACAUUCAAUAUAGUUCAGAUGAGGAACCAGAAUUACUGUCCGAAGAUGAUACUGAUUUGGCUGAUAUGUGAAGCUUUGAAUUCUUGAGCAUGUACCAUGGUUCCACCAACAACAGUCUCCAUCAAAUUCCUAGUAGGAGCAGUUUCCGCCACCAACAAGGUGGCAAUAUCAGCAGCCGCCACCAACAUGGUGGCAAUAUCAACACCACCAGCAAGCGCCACCACAACCACCACCAUGAUGACUAAUGCGAUAAAGAGAUAAAUUUUUUGGUACACAAAUUUUAGAGCUUUUUGAUGAUCAACUAGUUGAUUUCUAAACUCUUUAUCAUUUUUGGGUUGUAUUUUAAUGACUUUGCAUCUAGUUUGAAGAGGAUGGGAACCAUUUUUUUGUGCUAGCAGAUGGUUUUAGUUUUUGUUUAGAAAACUGGAUAUUUUAUUGAUCUUGAAUGUUACAUGUA